GCUCAUAACAUGUCAAUUACUCGAGCGAUAGGUAUAAGAGCUUGCUCUUAUGAAGUUAGUCGGCGGACGGGUGAGUCAACACGUGGGUAACCUACCCAUAAGACUGGGAUAACUCCGGGAAACCGGGGCUAAUACCGGAUAAUAUUUUGAACUGCAUAGUUCGAAAUUGAAAGGCGGCUUCGGCUGUCACUUAUGGAUGGACCCGCGUCGCAUUAGCUAGUUGGUGAGGUAACGGCUCACCAAGGCGACGAUGCGUAGCCGACCUGAGAGGGUGAUCGGCCACACUGGGACUGAGACACGGCCCAGACUCCUACGGGAGGCAGCAGUAGGGAAUCUUCCGCAAUGGACGAAAGUCUGACGGAGCAACGCCGCGUGAGUGAUGAAGGCUUUCGGGUCGUAAAACUCUGUUGUUAGGGAAGAACAAGUGCUAGUUGAAUAAGCUGGCACCUUGACGGUACCUAACCAGAAAGCCACGGCUAACUACGUGCCAGCAGCCGCGGUAAUACGUAGGUGGCAAGCGUUAUCCGGAAUUAUUGGGCGUAAAGCGCGCGCAGGCGGCUAUUUAAGUCUGGUGUUUAAACCUUGGGCUCAACCUGAGGUCGCACUGGAAACUGGGGUGGCUUGAGUACAGAAGAGGAAAGUGGAAUUCCACGUGUAGCGGUGAAAUGCGUAGAUAUGUGGAGGAACACCAGUGGCGAAGGCGACUUUUCUGGGGCUGUAACCUGACGCUG
RNAcentral lists this ribosomal RNA (731 nucleotides) under uncultured Bacillota bacterium. RNAcentral's name for it is "bacterial SSU rRNA". It matches the Rfam family "Bacterial small subunit ribosomal RNA", at positions 46 to 748 of the family's 1533-position model. Lineage: Bacteria; Bacillati; Bacillota. The record is from RNAcentral.